GAAUGCUGACAUAAGUAACGAUAAAGCGGGUGAAAAGCCCGCUCGCCGGAAGACCAAGGGUUCCUGUCCAACGUUAAUCGGGGCAGGGUGAGUCGACCCCUAAGGCGAGGCCGAAAGGCGUAGUCGAUGGGAAACGGGUUAAUAUUCCCGUACUUGGUGUUACUGCGAAGGGGGGACGGAGAAGGCUAUGUUGGCCGGGCGACGGUUGUCCCGGUUUAAGCGUGUAGGUGUGUGUUCCAGGUAAAUCCGGUUCACUUUAACACUGAGGCGUGACGACGAGGCACUACGGUGCUGAAGCAACAAAUGCCCUGCUUCCAGGAAAAGCCUCUAAGCAUCAGGUAACAUCAAAUCGUACCCCAAACCGACACAGGUGGUCAGGUAGAGAAUACCAAGGCGCUUGAGAGAACUCGGGUGAAGGAACUAGGCAAAAUGGUGCCGUAACUUCGGGAGAAGGCACGCUGACACGUAGGUGAAGUGAUUUACUCAUGGAGCUGAAGUCAGUCGAAGAUACCAGCUGGCUGCAACUGUUUAUUAAAAACACAGCACUGUGCAAACACGAAAGUGGACGUAUACGGUGUGACGCCUGCCCGGUGCCGGAAGGUUAAUUGAUGGGGUCAGCGCAAGCGAAGCUCCUGAUCGAAGCCCCGGUAAACGGCGGCCGUAACUAUAACGGUCCUAAGGUAGCGAAAUUCCUUGUCGGGUAAGUUCCGACCUGCACGAAUGGCGUAAUGAUGGCCAGGCUGUCUCCACCCGAGACUCAGUGAAAUUGAACUCGCUGUGAAGAUGCAGUGUACCCGCGGCAAGACGGAAAGACCCCGUGAACCUUUACUAUAGCUUGACACUGAACAUUGAGCCUUGAUGUGUAGGAUAGGUGGGAGGCUUUGAAGUGUGGACGCCAGUCUGCAUGGAGCCGACCUUGAAAUACCACCCUUUAAUGUUUGAUGUUCUAACGUGGACCCGUUACCCGGGUUGCGGACAGUGUCUGGUGGGUAGUUUGACUGGGGCGGUCUCCUCCUAAAGAGUAACGGAGGAGCACGAAGGUUGGCUAAUCCUGGUCGGACAUCAGGAGGUUAGUGCAAUGGCAUAAGCCAGCUUGACUGCGAGCGUGACGGCGCGAGCAGGUGCGAAAGCAGGUCAUAGUGAUCCGGUGGUUCUGAAUGGAAGGGCCAUCGCUCAACGGAUAAAAGGUACUCCGGGGAUAACAGGCUGAUACCGCCCAAGAGUUCAUAUCGACGGCGGUGUUUGGCACCUCGAUGUCGGCUCAUCACAUCCUGGGGCUGAAGUAGGUCCCAAGGGUAUGGCUGUUCGCCAUUUAAAGUGGUACGCGAGCUGGGUUUAGAACGUCGUGAGACAGUUCGGUCCCUAUCUGCCGUGGGCGCUGGAGAACUGAGGGGGGCUGCUCCUAGUACGAGAGGACCGGAGUGGACGCAUCACUGGUGUUCGGGUUGUCAUGCCAAUGGCACUGCCCGGUAGCUAAAUGCGGAAGAGAUAAGUGCUGAAAGCAUCUAAGCACGAAACUUGCCCCGAGAUGAGUUCUCCCUGAGACUUAAAGUCUCCUGAAGGAACGUUGAAGACG
RNAcentral lists this ribosomal RNA (1576 nucleotides) under Salmonella enterica subsp. enterica serovar Enteritidis. RNAcentral describes it as "partial 23S ribosomal RNA". It matches the Rfam family "Bacterial large subunit ribosomal RNA", at positions 1292 to 2846 of the family's 2925-position model. Lineage: Bacteria; Pseudomonadati; Pseudomonadota; Gammaproteobacteria; Enterobacterales; Enterobacteriaceae. The record is from RNAcentral.